UCGGGUUGUAAAGCACUUUUGUCCGGAAAGAAAUCCUUAGCCCUAAUAUGGUUGGGGGAUGACGGUACCGGAAGAAUAAGCACCGGCUAACUACGUGCCAGCAGCGCGGUAAUCGUAGGGUGCGAGCGUUAAUCGGAAUUACUGGGCGUAAAGCGUGCGCAGGCGGUUCGCUAAGACCGAUGUGAAAUCCCCGGGCUUAACCUGGGAACUGCAUUGGUGACUGGCGGGCUAGAGUAUGGCAGAGGGGGGUAGAAUUCCACGUGUAGCAGUGAAAUGCGUAGAGAUGUGGAGGAAUACCGAUGGCGAAGGCAGCCCCCUGGGCCAAUACUGACGCUCAUGCACGAAAGCGUGGGGAGCAAACAGGAUUAGAUACCCUGGUAGUCCACGCCCUAAACGAUGUCAACUAGUUGUUGGGGAUUCAUUUCCUUAGUAACGUAGCUAACGCGUGAAGUUGACCGCCUGGGGAGUACGGUCGCAAGAUUAAAACUCAAAGGAAUUGACGGGGACCCGCACAAGCGGUGGAUGAAGGUGGAUUAAUUCGAUGCAACGCGAAAAACCUUACCUACCCUUGACAUGGACGGAACCCUGCUG
Molecule: ribosomal RNA, 591 nt
Filed under: uncultured Burkholderia sp.
Lineage: Bacteria; Pseudomonadati; Pseudomonadota; Betaproteobacteria; Burkholderiales; Burkholderiaceae
Description: bacterial SSU rRNA
Rfam family: Bacterial small subunit ribosomal RNA
Source: RNAcentral